Molecule: ribosomal RNA, 505 nt
Filed under: uncultured bacterium
Lineage: Bacteria
Description: partial 16S ribosomal RNA
Rfam family: Bacterial small subunit ribosomal RNA
Source: RNAcentral
GACGAACGCUGGCGGCGUGCCUAAUACAUGCAAGUAGAACGCACAGUUUAUACCGUAGCUUGCUACACCAUAGACUGUGAGUUGCGAACGGGUGAGUAACGCGUAGGUAACCUGCCUGGUAGCGGGGGAUAACUAUUGGAAACGAUAGCUAAUACCGCAUAAUAUUGAUUAUUGCAUGAUAAUUGAUUGAAAGAUGCUAUUGCAUCACUGCCAGAUGGACCUGCGUUGUAUUAGCUAGUAGGUGAGGUAACGGCUAACCUAGGCGAAGAUACAUAGCCGACCUGAGGGGGUGAUCGGCCACACUUGGACUGAGACACGGCCCAGACCCCUACGGGAGGCAGCAGUAGGGAAACUUCGGCAAUGGACGAAAGUCUGACCGAGCAACGCCGCGUGAGUGAAGAAGGUUUUCGGAUCGUAAAGCUCUGUUGUAAGAGAAGAACGGGUGUGAGAGUGGAAAGUUCACACUGUGACGGUAUCUUACCAGAAAGGGACGGCUAACUACGUG